This 498-nucleotide ribosomal RNA is filed under the name Triticum aestivum (bread wheat). RNAcentral's name for it is "partial small subunit ribosomal RNA". The record is from RNAcentral. Lineage: Eukaryota; Viridiplantae; Streptophyta; Magnoliopsida; Poales; Poaceae.
AUGGGGCAGAAGAGGCCGGAGGAGGUUGUGGCGGAGCGGUUCCCGGCGUUGCCGCGCAAAACAGAGGCCGAUGGAGGCGUGGAUUCGGCGAGGCGCCGGAGUUGCUUCGGCGGGCUGAAGAACUUGAGGUGCUCGGGUGCCAUGGCCUCUCCAACUCCCUGUGAGAAAACUGAGAGAGAUGAGAGAUCGAAGGGAGAGCAAGAGAGAAAGAGAGACGACCGGAGUGGCAGAACAAAGGGAGAGAGAGGGACGAGGCCGGACCUGGUCGACGGGGAAGGCGGGGCGCAGCCCGGAUGGUUGGGUUCGCCGGCGGCGACACGCCAUGGAGGGAGGAGCUUGGGCAUGAGCAGGGGAUCGAGCCCCUGUCUCUCUCCUGCGGGAGCGCGGGCGCUCGUUGGUGGUUUGGGGGGGAUCCAGAGGAGAGUGCUGGUUAGGGAGGUUCGAUGGUGGCUGAAAUCGAGGAGAGGAUGGAUUUGGGCGGAUCCUGAGGGGAACUAG